Molecule: non-coding RNA, 232 nt
Filed under: Clostridium sp.
Lineage: Bacteria; Bacillati; Bacillota; Clostridia; Eubacteriales; Clostridiaceae
Description: T-box sequence
Rfam family: T-box leader
About the family: Uncharged tRNA acts as the effector for transcription antitermination of genes in the T-box leader family.
Source: RNAcentral
UUAAACACUAUGACAAAGCAAAGUAGUACGCUGCUUUUUUUGCUUUAGAGAGGGCGGCCUUGGCUGUAAGCCGUCUGCAAUGGCAUUGUAUGAAUUUCACUUUUGAGUGGCUGCCCUGAACCUACACUAGGGGCAGACGGCUGACACCGUUAAAGGUUACAGGAGUGUUUGCUUCCCGGCAAAAAUUUGGGUGGUACCACGGAGCUUUUUAUGUUUAUGCUUCGCCCCAAGG